Tupaia belangeri chinensis (Chinese tree shrew) is the source of this 1038-nucleotide long non-coding RNA. RefSeq lists it as uncharacterized. The transcript is spliced from 4 exons. The record is from RefSeq and is a predicted model, not a curated record. NCBI's taxonomy places the organism in Eukaryota, Metazoa, Chordata, Mammalia, Scandentia, Tupaiidae.
CCUCUUUGUGUGACUGCUUCCCCGGCCUCACCCUGCUUCCCCGACUGCCUUACAAGUUUCUCAAGACAGCAUCUGUUUAGGAAUUGCUGGCUUGGGCGCUGGUUCUAGAGCACCUGGCCUCUGACAUCCCUUUUGGGUGCUGGCCCUUUAGGACCAAAGCGUGAGUCAAGAGCCUUGCUACUGAAAUUGGCCCACGGAUCAGCACCUCAGCAUCGCCUGGGAUCCCGCUAGCAUUGCAGAAUCCGGAGCCUCAGCUAGACCUGCUGAGCCUGCAUCUGGAGACUUGUUCUUGCCCACAAGGGAGCCACCAAUCCUGAAAAUGCCUGGGAGGUUAAUCCAGGGAGAUAGUAUCCCUCUCCCAGGGCAGGCAGCUCAUGGCCAAUGGCUGGCGAUAGUGGCUACAGAACCUGGUGGCUACAGAACCUGGCUUUUAACAAGACCCCAAAGAAGUUUGCAUGCACAUCAAAGUUUGAGAAGAACACACAGAACCUGGACAAGCUGAUUUCAAAGAUGCACAGCAGAGUGCUUUCCGUUUGGGUCUAAGAAGAAAACGAAACAAACACAACAGCCCCUGUAACUACAGAUGAAAGCCUCAGACGGAGAUGAGAGCUCCAUCAACUAAGAGAGGCAUUUGCUGAGAUCUGUACACUUCCUGCGAUCUCCAUCAGUAACACCCACGUACUUCCGGGCUUUGCCUCUACUGUCCGCCCUGCCCAGAAGACCACGCCUUGCGUCCCUGCCUUGGGCCUGGCUCACUUCCGCCUGUCCUCCAGCCUCAGCUCAGACGCCACCUCCUGUUACAGCCCGUCCCCUGGCCCCAGCAUCUCCUGCAUGUGCCAGUGGGUGGUGUGCUGCAGGCACUCCCACUCAGGCGCCUGCUUCGUUUUGCAUUUUUACCAACGCUACCUUCAGCAGCCGUGCACACGACAAGGACGCAGCGCGCGAACGGUUGUAGAUAACCGUCGCUGGUAAUAAGAAGCCAGCUUCCAUAGAUCCUGUACAGAAAGUCCUUCAGCAAUCCUCCAGCCUAUCCUUCCA